This 90-nucleotide transfer RNA is filed under the name Bacillus phage BCP8-2. RNAcentral's name for it is "tRNA-Leu". It matches the Rfam family "tRNA". From Rfam's summary of the family: Transfer RNA (tRNA) molecules are approximately 80 nucleotides in length. The record is from RNAcentral. Lineage: Duplodnaviria; Heunggongvirae; Uroviricota; Caudoviricetes; Herelleviridae.
AUCGGAAUGUUGGAAUUGGUAGACAUAACGCACUUAAAAUGCGUUGCUCCUUGGGGCGUGAGGGUUCGACUUCCUCUUCCGAUACCAAAA